CCCACAGUUCAAUACUCUCAUGAUGAGAAACUCUCAAGCCCUCAUCCAUCAUUCUCCUCUUCUUUCUAAUUCGAAGUCAGUAGGUCUAUGAGCUAUCAAGGCUGAGGUGACAGUCAGGACUGAGGUGGAGAAGACUAAAGACGAGAUAAAAGACCAAGAUAUGAAAAUCGAGGCAGAGCUCUCAAAUGUCAAGCUCCUAGAGCUAAUCUUAGAAGGCCA
Molecule: long non-coding RNA, 219 nt
Filed under: Elaeis guineensis (African oil palm)
Lineage: Eukaryota; Viridiplantae; Streptophyta; Magnoliopsida; Arecales; Arecaceae
Description: long non-coding RNA (EGUI_LNC022751)
Source: RNAcentral